UACAGAGGUCCCAAGCGUUGUUCGGAUUCACUGGGCGUAAAGGGUGCGUAGGUGGUCGGGUAAGUCUGAUGUGAAAUCUCCGAGCUCAACUCGGAAAUGGCAUUGGAUACUACUUGGCUAGAGGGUUGGAGGGGGGACUGGAAUACUUGGUGUAGCGGUGAAAUGCGUAGAUAUCAAGAGGAACACCUGAGGUGAAGACGGGUUGCUGGGCCAACACUGACGCUGAGGCGCGAAAGCCAGGGGAGCAAACGGG
This 253-nucleotide ribosomal RNA is filed under the name uncultured bacterium. RNAcentral describes it as "partial 16S ribosomal RNA". It matches the Rfam family "Bacterial small subunit ribosomal RNA", at positions 524 to 776 of the family's 1533-position model. The record is from RNAcentral.